GUACGGAAGCCCCAGAGAAUGGCUCUAAAUUGUUGGACCAUCCAUGAGGAUGCUGGUCCUCACAGUCAGGCUUCAGGAGAGAUCGUAUGAUGUCUUUUCCUUGUGCGUCCUCAUAUGCUGUUUUUGUAGUUUGUCUCCAGGUAAAUAAAGAUCCCACAUUUGUGGAUAGAGCCAGGCAAUUGCUUCUUAAUAUGAAGAAAACAUUUGCUGACCUGUUGGCACGAGUCCUGAGAGGUAAUCUCCUAGGAGAAGUUAAAUAGUAAGUAAGAUGACCACCAGUAUUUGAAGGUCUGAGUUUAUUUAGAGUUUAUUUAGAGCACGUAAGAGGAUGAUUUACCAUUUCUCUCAGAAGAUGAUGUAAAUCUUGUAGUAUCAAAGGAUACUAUGUUGGGAGACUACCCUCAUUAUGUAUUCAGUCAUUCACUCAUUCAGCA
This 434-nucleotide long non-coding RNA is filed under the name Equus caballus (horse). Its description in RNAcentral is "lncRNA (ENSECAG00000030687.3)". Lineage: Eukaryota; Metazoa; Chordata; Mammalia; Perissodactyla; Equidae. The record is from RNAcentral.